RNAcentral lists this ribosomal RNA (2004 nucleotides) under metagenome. RNAcentral describes it as "bacterial LSU rRNA". It matches the Rfam family "Bacterial large subunit ribosomal RNA", at positions 831 to 2925 of the family's 2925-position model. The record is from RNAcentral.
AAUCGAACUCGGAGAUAGCUGGUUCUCCCCGAAAUAGCUUUAGGGCUAGCGUUAUGUUAGAUUACCGGAGGUAAAGCACUGAAUGGUAGCGGGGCCGAUAAGGUUACCAACGCCUAUCAAACUCAGAAUGCCGGCUAAUUGAUGCAUAGCAGUCAGACAGUGUGAGAUAAGUUUCAUUGUCAAAAGGGAAACAGCCCAGACCCACAGCUAAGGUCCCAAAUGUAUGCUAAGUGGAAAACGAUGUGGAGUUGCGAAAACAACCAGGAUGUUGGCUUAGAAGCAGCCACUCAUUAAAAGAGUGCGUAAUAGCUCACUGGUCGAGUGACUCUGCGCCGAAAAUUUAACGGGGCUAAACUAUACACCGAAGCUUGGGAUACAUCUAAUGUAUGGUAGGAGAGCGUUCUGUAUGGGGAGAAGUCGUAGCGAAAGCGGCGGUGGACUAUACAGAAGUGAGAAUGCCGGAAUAAGUAGCGAGAAUUAAGUGAGAAUCUUAAUGGCCGAAAGUCUAAGGUUUUUGGAGGAAGGUUCGUCCGCUCCAAGUAAGUCGGGAGCUAAGGUCAGGCCGAAAGGCGUAGCCGAUGCACAUACGGUUGAUAUUCCGUAACCAUCUGUAAUUUAAGCAAAGGGACACUUCAAAAGGGUGUGACCCGGGCGUUGGUUGACCCGGGCGUAAGGGACCGAAAUUAGAGUAGGGAAGCACACUUAGCUGAAGGCGAGAAAAGCUUUGCGUAUAGAAACAGAUGCCCGUACCGCAAACCGACACAGGUGGACAGGAAGAGAAUUCUAAGGCCAGCGGGAGAAGGGUAGUUAAGGAACUCGGCAAAUUGACUCCGUAACUUCGGAAUAAGGAGUGCUCGAAAGAGCCGCAGAGAAUAGGCCCAGGCGACUGUUUAGCAAAAACACAGGUCUCUGCCAAAUCGAAAGAUGAAGUAUAGGGGCUGACACCUGCCCGGUGCCGGAAGGUUAAGAGGAGGAGUGAGAGCUCCGAAUUGAAGCCCCGGUAAACGGCGGCCGUAACUAUAACGGUCCUAAGGUAGCGAAAUUCCUUGUCGGGUAAGUUCCGACCCGCACGAAUGGUGUAACGAUCUGGGCACUGUCUCAACUACCCACCCGGCGAAAUUGUAGUACCGGUGAAGAUGCCGGUUACCUGCGGCAAGACGGAAAGACCCCAUGGAGCUUUACUGUAGCCUGAUAUUGGGUUUCGGAAAUCUAUGUACAGGAUAGGCGGGAGACUAGGAAACAUGAGCGUCAGCUUGUGUGGAGUCGAUGUUGGGAUACCGCCCUUAGGUUUCUGGAAUUCUAACCUGCGGCCGUGAAUCCGGUCGGGGGACAUUGUCAGGUGGGCAGUUUGACUGGGGCGGUCGCCUCCGAAAAGGUAACGGAGGCGCUCAAAGGUUAGCUCAGCACGGACGGAAACCGUGCCUCUGAGUGUAAACGCAAAAGCUAGCCUAACUGCGAGGGUGACGGCCCGAGCAGUAACGAAAGUUGGAGUUAGUGAUCCGGCGGUAUGUGAAUGGAAAUGCCGUCGCUCAACGGAUAAAAGCUACCCUGGGGAUAACAGGCUGAUCUCCCCCAAGAGUCCACAUCGACGGGGAGGUUUGGCACCUCGAUGUCGGCUCAUCACAUCCUGGGGCUGUAUUCGGUCCCAAGGGUUCGGCUGUUCGCCGAUUAAAGUGGUACGCGAGCUGGGUUCAGAACGUCGCGAGACAGUUCGGUCCCUAUCUGUCGUGGGCGCAGGAUAUUUGAGGAGCUCUGUCCUUAGUACGAGAGGACCGGGAUGGACGUACCUCUGGUGCACCAGUUGUCAUGCCAAUGGCACGGCUGGGCAGCUAUGUACGGAACGGAUAAACGCUGAAAGCAUCUAAGCGUGAAGCCGACUCCAAGAUUAGAUAUCCCAUCGUAUAACGAGUAAGACCCCUUGAAGACUACGAGGUUGAUAGGCUGCGUGUGUAAGUGCCGUGAGGCAUUCAGCUUGGCAGUACUAAUAGGUCGAGGGCUUGACCA